Molecule: ribosomal RNA, 90 nt
Filed under: Triticum aestivum (bread wheat)
Lineage: Eukaryota; Viridiplantae; Streptophyta; Magnoliopsida; Poales; Poaceae
Description: partial small subunit ribosomal RNA
Source: RNAcentral
AUGACUUCGCUACUUGUCGACGUGUUUUUGUGUGUGUCGGUAUUGGCUGUAUGCAUCCUAACUAUGCAGAGGCCGAGUGUGUGCUCAUAG